RNAcentral lists this ribosomal RNA (253 nucleotides) under uncultured bacterium. RNAcentral's name for it is "partial 16S ribosomal RNA". It matches the Rfam family "Bacterial small subunit ribosomal RNA", at positions 524 to 776 of the family's 1533-position model. The record is from RNAcentral.
UACGGAGGGUGCAAGCGUUAUCCGGAUUCACUGGGUUUAAAGGGUGCGUAGGUGGGCAGGUAAGUCAGUGGUGAAAUCUCCAAGCUUAACUUGGAAACUGCCGUUGAUACUAUCUGUCUUGAAUAUUGUGGAGGUGAGCGGAAUAUGUCAUGUAGCGGUGAAAUGCUUAGAUAUGACAUAGAACACCAAUUGCGAAGGCAGCUCACUACACAAUCAUUGACUCUGAGGCACGAAAGCGUGGGGAUCAAACAGG